RNAcentral lists this ribosomal RNA (494 nucleotides) under uncultured bacterium. RNAcentral describes it as "bacterial SSU rRNA". It matches the Rfam family "Bacterial small subunit ribosomal RNA", at positions 903 to 1397 of the family's 1533-position model. The record is from RNAcentral.
AAAGGAAUAGACGGGGGCCCGCACAAGCAGCGGAGCAUGUGGUUUAAUUCGAAGCAACGCGAAGAACCUUACCAGGUCUUGACAUCCAGUAAAACUUGUAGAGAUAUGAGGUGCCUUCGGGCAUACUGAGACAGGUGGUGCAUGGUUGUCGUCAGCUCGUGUCGUGAGAUGUUGGGUUAAGUCCCGCAACGAGCGCAACCCUUGCCGAUAGUUACUAACGGGUGAAGCCGAGGACUCUAUUGGGACCGCCGGGGACAACUCGGAGGAAGGUGGGGACGACGUCAAAUCAUCAUGCCCCUUAUGACCUGGGCUACACACGUGCUACAAUGGCCGAGACAGAGAGGAGCGAAGGCGCGAGCCGGAGCGGAUCUCAAAAAAGCGGUCACAGUUCGGAUUGUGGGCUGCAACCCGCCCACAUGAAGCAGGAGUUGCUAGUAAUCGCGAAUCAGCAUGUCGCGGUGAAUACGUUCCCGGGCCUUGUACACACCGCCCGU